RNAcentral lists this ribosomal RNA (497 nucleotides) under uncultured bacterium. RNAcentral's name for it is "partial 16S ribosomal RNA". It matches the Rfam family "Bacterial small subunit ribosomal RNA", at positions 28 to 507 of the family's 1533-position model. The record is from RNAcentral.
GACGAACGCUGGCGGCGUGCCUAAUACAUGCAAGUUGAGCGCUGAAGGUUGGUACUUGUACCAACUGGAUGAGCAGCGAACGGGUGAGUAACGCGUGGGGAAUCUGCCUUUGAGCGGGGGACAACAUUUGGAAACGAAUGCUAAUACCGCAUAAAAACUUUAAACACAAGUUUUAAGUUUGAAAGAUGCAAUUGCAUCACUCAAAGAUGAUCCCGCGUUGUAUUAGCUAGUUGGUGAGGUAAAGGCUCACCAAGGCGAUGAUACAUAGCCGACCUGAGAGGGGGGUCGACCACAUUGGGACUGAGACACGACCCAAACUCCUACGGGAGGCAGCAGAAGGGAAUCUUCGGCGAUGGACGAGAGUCUGACCGAGCAACGCCGCGUGAGUGAAGAAGGUUAUCGGAUCGUAAAACUCUGUUGGUAGAGAAGAACGUUGGUGAGAGUGGAAAGCUCAUCAAGUGACGGUAACUACCCAGAAAGGGACGGCUAACUACGUG